CUCAUAUAUUUAUUUAUUUAAAUUUAUUACGAUUUUUAUUUUUAUUAAUUUUAAUUAUUUCGGUUUGUUUAUAUUUAUUGUUUGUGAGCUACCUUAAUGUUUACUUAAAUUGUCUUAUUUACCAAUUGUAUGAUCAUUGUUGUUUGGUUCAUUUGUCCGUUAGGAUUUUUUUAUAUUGUUUUAUAUUCCCUUUUGUUCAUAUUUGUUUACGAACUAAUCGCACUUUUUGUCCCUAAAUUAUACUGCAGUAUUUUCGUUCAGUUUAUUUAUUUGGAAAUGAACUGUUGUAAUAGUACAUAAACAAAAAGAAAUUUGUAGGCUCAGUAAUAACUGGCUUUAGAAUUAAAAUUUAGUUUGUUGGGGAUAAAGACUGCGGUAAGUCGCUUAAUAUAUUUAUAAGUUAUUUUUUGUAAUAAGUUCUUUUUUUAGAAAUAAACGGUUGCUCAAGUAUAUGCAUCAUUAAUUGUAAAUUUGUGGUUCAUUUAUUUGAGACUGGUUAAAUUCGCUGUCCUCAACAUAUAGGCUCAGGUCGCAGCCAGCGACAAAUUUUAUUUCGCACUCUAUGAGCGAACUUGUGGUUCCUUGCCUGCCGGAACAAAUUUUAUUUCGCAAUUUUUUGAGCGAUCUUGUGGUUCCUUGCCCGUCGGAACAAAUUAUAUUUCGCAACCUUUGAGCGAACUUGUGGUUCCUUGCCUGCCGGAACAUUUUACUUGUACUUUAUGUGAAUUUGUGGUUCCAAGCUGCCGGAACAAAUAUAAAUAAUUGUGAAGCCGUCCCAUGCCUGCCGGUACAAGUGUUUAAACUAAAGUAUGAAAUUUUUGUGGUUCCUUACACGCCGGAACGAGUAAAACUUUAAGCUGAAUUUUUGUGAAAUUGUAACCUGUCCUGCUGGAACAAAUUGUGUUUUUUAUUUGUGAUAAAUUGUGUGAUUCCUUGGCUGCCGGAGCAAUUAAAUUUUAAUCUGCAGUGAAUAGCAAUUAAUUUGUGAAUUUGAGAAGCCCCAAGCCUGCCGGAACAAAUUAAUUUUGUGUUGCUGUUUAAUAUUUGUGAAUUUGUGUGCCCUUUGAAAAUAUUUGUGAUUCAAGAUGCAACGGUCGCCAUCUAGAAAAAGCUCUCGUUUGCAAACAGCAACGAGCCAAAAUGUGAAUAGUUCCACGCCUGCCGGAACAAAUAGUUUAGUAAAUGUUUCUCAAAUGCCGUCGGUACAAAAUGUCAGUUCUGUUGCCCUCGGAACAACGGUAACUAGUGCCUCUAUAAGUGCCCCUAGAGAACCGACACCUGCUGUAUCAACGCAAAACAUUUUCAGUUCAACAAGUGAAGAGCCCUUUAGUCUGCCGCCGUUAGUGCCCGGUCCUAAUGUGAGAACCCAGCCACCACAAACCAUAUCGUCUGAUAAUGAGAACCUGCAACGACAAAUUGAUAUCCUGCAAGCUCAAUUGGCAAACGCUCAACGUGCUUUAAGAGCAAAUCAAAAUUUAAAUACGCCGAAUGUUAUUGGACAUAAUGCGCCAGUCAUCCAAAGUAUUAGCAGUGGCCCUGAGAACAUGGUUGAUCGCCGGAAUCCAACGCCAUAUUCCUAUGUUAGUCAGUCAGACCAGUUGAUGACAUCUCAGCCUCUUAUUGUUUCCCCUGCUACAGUGCCCAUGCCAGUACAACGCAAACUUUAUGAUCUGCCCGAAUUUUGUGGUACUCCCGAGGACUGGCCAAUGUUUUUGUCUGCCCUUGAACAUUCGACAGCGGCAUAUUCGUACAAUAAUUUUGAAAAUUGUUUGAGAUUGCAGAAGGCUUUGAAAGGUGAAGCCAGAGAGUGCGUGAAGUCGUUGCUCAUCCACCCAAAUAAUGUGCCAACGGUUAUAGAGCAAUUAAAGCUACAAUAUGGUCGCCCAGAGUUGCUUAUUCGAUGUCAAUUGCAACAGAUGAAGGAAGUUCAGCCCAUAGCAGAAAACGCAAUCGAUAAAUUGGUGCCGUAUUCCAUUAAGGUCAGAAAUUUAGCAGCGUUUUUGGAAUCUGCCAAUGGUUAUCAACAUUUGUCGAAUCCAACACUCAUGGAGGAGUUAGUACAGAAGCUGCCAAUGAGCAAACGUUUGGAUUGGGCCCAGUUUGCUUCAACUUUACCUCAGUUGCCGACUAUUUUGGAUUAUAGUACCUGGCUCCAGCGUGUUGCAAAUUUGGUAAGAAGUGUGCAAAUAAGCAGUUCAAGUGGCAAUAGAUCUAGCAGUGAUCCAAAACGAAAAGUGGUUUUAUAUGCUUCUGAUGGCCCAGAACGUCAGUUAAAAUGUUUUUAUUGUGUUGGCCCACAUAAAAUUUUUGAUUGUAAGAAAUUUUUAGAAUUGAGUGUGCCUAAUAGAUGGAGUGAAGUGAAGAGAUUGAAGUUAUGUUUUUCGUGUCUCAGUGGUGGCCAUUCAAGUAAAGAUUGUCGUCGGCGUAAGCAGUGUCCAGUGGAAAAGUGCCAAAGAAAUCACAAUAAAUUACUGCAUGAAACUAAACCUAAGGAACCAAGUGAACGAUCCGUAAAUGUGCCGCCAACAGAGAGAACUUCAACAGUCGAGCCAGUGCUUAGUUGUGUUUCCAGUGUUAGUGAAAGAAGUGAUUUGUUGUUCAGAGUGCUCCCAGUGGUUCUUUAUGGACCAAAUUGUGCUAUUGAAACUUAUGCACUCCUAGAUGAAGGUUCUUCGGUCACGAUGAUGGAUAGCUCUUUAGUGAGACAGCUUGGACUGCAUGGUCGACAAAGUCAAUUGAAUUUGAGUUGGUAUGGUGGUAAAUCGGCACAAGAACCAGUUAUGGUGGUGGAUCUUCAUGUGAGCGGUGUUAAUAAGAAGAGGAAAUAUGCUUUGAAAAAUGUGUAUGGUGUCUCGAAUUUGAAGUUGCCUAGUCAGAGUUUUAAUGCGGAUUUAGUAAAGAAUCAUGGUGUGCCUUUAAACUCAUAUGAAUGUGUGGCUCCAAAGGUACUAAUUGGAUUGGACCAUUGCCAUUUAGGAUUGCCCGAUGAAAUAGUCCCUUUGGAAGAUGCUGGUCCAUAUGCUGCCAAUACUCCUCUUGGAUGGGUUGUUUUUGGAAACGUGAAAGGAGGUCGCCCUGGAACCCAAACAUGUUUGCUGACACAGUUGGAUAAUUUAAAUAAUUUGGUGGCAAAUUAUUUUGAAACUGAAAAUUUUGGUGUUAAGGCUCUACCAGUGAUUGAGUCAAGAGAUGAUUUACGUGCACGAGAGAUAUUGAGAAAUUCUACGAAGAGGGUUGCCGGAAGAUUUGAAUCCAGACUACUAUGGUGUAAUGAUGACGUAGUCCUGCCGGAUAGCUAUUCCAUGGCCCUUAAUAGAUUUUUUGGAAUGGAAAGAAAAAUGAAAAAUAAUCCUGAAUUUGGUGCGGCCUAUAAACAAAUAAUGAGUGAAUAUUUGCAGAAGCGGUAUGUACGCAAAUUAUCAUUGAGUGAAGUCGAUACAUUUCAUCCGAGAACAUGGUACUUGCCCCACUUUGGUGUCGUAAACCCUAAUAAGCCAGGGAAGAUUCGUAUGGUGUUCGAUGCAGCAGCAAAGGUGGAAGGUGUCUCGUUGAAUUCAAAGUUAUUGAAAGGCCCUCAGCAAUACAAAUCGUUGCCAUCAGUUUUAUUUAAUUUUAGAAUCGGUUCCGUAGCUGUUUGUGGGGACAUAAAGGAAAUGUUUCAUCAAGUUGUUGUUGCUGAGGAAGACAGGUGUUCGCAGAGGUUCUUGUGGCGAGAUGAUGCUAGUGGUCCACCGGAAGUGUAUGAGAUGCUUGUGAUGACGUUUGGAGCUGCCUGUUCGCCCUGUAUUGCCCAUUAUGUGAAGGAAAUACAUAAAGUUGCUGGUUUUGAAAUGCUCAGGAGACAUAGUGUACUUUGGGACGAGAUGUUGCCCAUUGUUGCGUCAUUACAAGCGAUGUGGAAUAAAUGGCGCCAAGAGCUAAGAAAUGUUGUCCAUGUAAAGGUUCCACGAUUUUAUUUUGGAAAUGGUUUGCCCUUGGAGUUAGAGCUGCAUAUUUUUGUUGAUGCCAGUGAAGAUGUUUGGAAAUGGUUGCCUACAGUUCUCAAUGUUGCCGAUGAUACUACAAGAGCUGAAAAUAAAGUUGAUUUUUCCAUUGAAACACGUUGGUUCCAAGGGCCACAAUUUUUGUAUGAAAACGAAGCUGACUGGCCGAAUAAGAAUUCUGAGAAAUCUGAUGAUUUGUGUGAAGAAGAACUACGCCCCAAAUUUGUUAUGCUGGUUAGUACAAAUUUAGUUAUUGAUUUUAAUCGUUUUUCUUCAUUUCUCAGGCUUAAACGAACAAUGGCUUGGGUUCUGAGAUUUAUCAAUCGCUGCCGAAAAUAUGAUAAAUGUAAUGGUUCGAGAUGCCUGUGUGCUGAAGAGUUAAGGGUUGCUGAAACUAGUCUGUGUCGUCUGUCCCAAGAAGAGUGUUUCGCCUUUGAAAUAAACGUUUUAAAAUCUGAUGGUUCUUUAAAAAAGGAUAACGUGUUAUUUUCCCUUUCGCCAUAUUUUGAUGAAAAUAAUUUACUUCGAGUGAGCGGUCGUAUUGAUGCUGCGAGUUGGUUGCCUUUAGAUGCCAGGCACCCCAUUAUUUUGUCGCCCUGUCACCGCUUUACACAACUAUUUGUUGCCCAUGUGCAUAAUAAAAUGAGACAUCAAAAUUUUGAGGCUACCAUAGGCGAAAUAAGGAAAAGAUUCUGGAUUCCACGACUUCGAAAUCUGUUGAGUAAGACCACAUCAAAUUGCAACAUUUGUAAGAUUCGUCGUGCUGUUCCAGUAGCUCCUUUUAUGGGAUCGUUGCCAAGUGAUAGACUAACUCCAUAUGUCCGGCCAUUUACUUAUACUGGUGUUGACUAUUUUGGCCCAUUAAAUGUGACUGUUGGUAGACGCCAUGAAAAACGUUGGGUUGCCCUGUUUACGUGCCUUACAAUCAGAGCUGUACAUUUAGAAGUGGCCUAUGAUCUAUCUACUGAUUCGUGUAUUUUGGCUAUACGGAAUUUUAUAAAUCGUCGUGGCACCCCGUUGAAGAUUCGGAGUGAUAACGGAAAGAAUUUUGUUGGAGUUAACCAAGAAGCCCAGCGAUUUGAUGAAGUAUUUGAUCUGGUUAAAAUUGAAGAUGAGUUGUCCACAAGGGGCAUUGAAUGGCAGUUUAAUUGUCCACAUAAUCCUGCAGAAGGUGGAAUAUGGGAGCGAAUGGUUCAAUGUGUUAAAAAGGUUUUAAGAGUAACCCUAAAAGAAGUCGCCCCAAAAGAGCACACCUUGCAAAGUUUUUUAAUUGAAGCCGAAAACAUCGUGAACUCUCGCCCAUUGACUCACUUGCCUGUCAGUCCGGAAGACGAAGAACCAUUGACGCCUAAUCAUUUCUUGUUGGGUUCUGCAAAUACGGCUCAAACGCCAGAAGGUAUUGAAAUUAUAAAGCCAGUGGUACUGAAGAAGCAGUGGCGAAUUGCUCGACAGCUACGAGAUCAUUUUUGGAAAAGAUGGAUUGUGGAAUAUUUGCCCACACUUACAAGACGGUCCAAAUGGUGCGAACAUACGAAGCCUGUGGCCCCGGGAGAUCUUGUACUAAUUUGUGAUCCAGCUGUUUCCCGCCGAGAUUGGAAGAGAGGUCGUGUCGUAAAUGUGUUUCCUGGCAGUGAUGGUGUAAUCCGAAGAGCUGAUGUCCAAACAAGUAGUGGAAUACUUAAACGCCCAGUUUCCAAACUAGCAGUCCUUGAUUUGGAGUAGUGAAUCGUUGCCGAUCCACGGGGGUGGGAAUGUCGCCGAUGGCUCAUAUAUUUAUUUAUUUAAAUUUAUUACGAUUUUUAUUUUUAUUAAUUUUAAUUAUUUCGGUUUGUUUAUAUUUAUUGUUUGUGAGCUACCUUAAUGUUUACUUAAAUUGUCUUAUUUACCAAUUGUAUGAUCAUUGUUGUUUGGUUCAUUUGUCCGUUAGGAUUUUUUUAUAUUGUUUUAUAUUCCCUUUUGUUCAUAUUUGUUUACGAACUAAUCGCACUUUUUGUCCCUAAAUUAUACUGCAGUAUUUUCGUUCAGUUUAUUUAUUUGGAAAUGAACUGUUGUAAUAGUACAUAAACAAAAAGAAAUUUGUAGGCUCAGUAAUAACUGGCUUUAGAAUUAAAAUUUAGUUUGUUGGGGAUAAAGACUGCGAAAUAAACGGUUGCUCAAGUAUAUGCAUCAUUAAUUGUAAA
This is an RNA transcript of Calliphora vicina (urban bluebottle blowfly), 6163 nucleotides long. RefSeq lists it as uncharacterized. The transcript has 2 exons. NCBI's taxonomy places the organism in Eukaryota, Metazoa, Arthropoda, Insecta, Diptera, Calliphoridae. The record is from RefSeq and is a predicted model, not a curated record.